RNAcentral lists this small RNA (21 nucleotides) under Brassica napus (rape). RNAcentral describes it as "PsRNA_24". Lineage: Eukaryota; Viridiplantae; Streptophyta; Magnoliopsida; Brassicales; Brassicaceae. The record is from RNAcentral.
UGAUGUUGAGGAUGAUGGUGC